AACGCGAAGAACCUUACCCAGGCUUGACAUCCUGCGAAGGUCUCCGAAAGGAGACUGUGCCUUCGGGAAUGCAGUGACAGGUGUUGCAUGGCCGUCUUCAGCUCGUGUCGUGAGAUGUUUGGUUAAGUCCAUCAACGAGCGCAACCCUUAUAGUUAGUUGAAUUUUUCUAGCUAGACUGCCCUGGUAACAGGGAGGAAGGAGGGGAUGAUGUCAGGUCCGUAUUACCCUUACGCCUGGGGCUACAAACACGCUACAAUGGCCGGUACAAAGGGCUGCCAAGUCGCGAGACGGAGCAAAUCCCAUCAAAGCCGGUCCCAGUUCGGAUUGCAGGCUGAAACUCGCCUGCAUGAAGUCGGAAUCGCUAGUAACGGUGAGUCAGCACAUCACCGUGAAUACGUUCCCGGGCCUUGUA
RNAcentral lists this ribosomal RNA (413 nucleotides) under uncultured Candidatus Saccharibacteria bacterium. Its description in RNAcentral is "bacterial SSU rRNA". It matches the Rfam family "Bacterial small subunit ribosomal RNA", at positions 958 to 1385 of the family's 1533-position model. The record is from RNAcentral. Lineage: Bacteria; Candidatus Saccharimonadota.